Molecule: ribosomal RNA, 446 nt
Filed under: uncultured bacterium
Lineage: Bacteria
Description: partial 16S ribosomal RNA
Rfam family: Bacterial small subunit ribosomal RNA
Source: RNAcentral
CCUACGGGGCGCAGCAGUCGAGAAUCAUUCACAAUGGGGGAAACCCUGAUGGUGCGACGCCGCGUGGGGGAAUGAAGGUCUUCGGAUUGUAAACCCCUGUCAUGUGGGAGCAAAUUAAAAAGAUAGUACCACAAGAGGAAGAGACGGCUAACUCUGUGCCAGCAGCCGCGGUAAUACAGAGGUCUCAAGCGUUGUUCGGAAUCACUGGGCGUAAAGCGUGCGGAGGCUGUUUCGUAAGUCGUGUGUGAAAGGCGCGGGCUCAACCCGCGGACGGCACAUGAUACUGCGAGACUAGAGUAGUGGAGGGGGAACCGGAAUUCUCGGUGUAGCAGUGAAAUGCGUAGAUAUCGAGAGGAACACUCGUGGCGAAGGCGGGUUCCUGGACAUUAACUGACGCUGAGGCACGAAGGCCAGGGGAGCGAAAGGGAUUAGAUACCCGAGUAGUC